AUAAAGGAAUAUGCUGGCAAGUAAUGUAUACCCUAAUGUAAUUACAAGUAAUUAGAGAGUAUAAAAUUGGGAAUAAAUGACUACCAUUAUAAUCAUAAUGGAUUAUGAAUAAUAUAUCAAUCGGAGUGCAUCAUAUUUACAAAAUAACAACCGUUAUCAAACCAUGAAUUCAUAAUACAAAUUCCUUUAAACAAUGUCAAUUGCAACACUCUCAGAGCCUAAUAUCAGGAGAAAGUUCAAAAUGUCUGUGGAUGGCCCUUGUAUUGGCAGUAAGGUAAUGGUGCCUCCCUCUUUGGGAGGCAGCAUUACCACUCAUCAGUCAAAUGCAUUGUAAAUUACAGGGCCCGGGUAAUAAAACCAGAUUUGUACAUCACCAGGACUGGAGACUGUCUGUCUUGUAAAUUUAAUUAAACAGCAGGUGCAAAAUCAGGUCAUGUGGCUUUGAUGUGUCCCAUGUGAGAAUGACAAGCAGACAAAGAUUCUAAUAUGGGAAGCAUUUACAUAUUUUUGCAUGUGCACGCGUGUACAAGGGGAGCUGCCGUCACCGUGUAGAGUAUUCCAAUUCGCCCAAAUUAAGAGAGAUUCAAAUUAGCUGUCACCUUCAAUUUCAAUAGCUCGUCGCCAAAAUAAACGGUUAAGCUCUUCAAAAGCAAUCCCUGCUCGUCAAAUGCAGAGUAAACACACAUAUUACCAACAGCUUGUCGAGACGGGAAGAUUUGCACUAAUCAGGUCUUAUAGCAAAUAAAAUAAAAUGUUAUUGGUCGCAUACACAUAUUUAGCAGGUGUAGCAAAAUGCUUGUGGAGCCAUGAACAGGACGACCAUGUCAAUCAGCGCCAUCUUGUCAAGUCUGUGCACGACAACACAGAAAACCUACCUAAAGAAAACACUCAUCAACCAGUGCCUACAAUACAGUAGAAUCACAUUUGAUUUUCCAACCUACUAGUCAGCUCUUAAUAGACUUGAUCCAGAGUGAUGCACAUCCUCUUAUGGAUGAGUGUGACCUGUGACACCGUUCUCUCGCCAUCUCCGUGGCAGAAGACAGACAUCGAUUGAAGUUGACUAGCGAAAUGUCAGCUGCCUGACCUGAUGGCAACACCUUUGCUUGUUUUUGGGAAGAAGUGGUUGAUAAUUACCACCUAGAAUGUAGCCAUCUGUCCCGCUCUUUCAUGACCUGUUAAACUCGCUUUUCAAAAAGUUUACUGGUGACAGAGGGCACGUGACGGAAAAGAGUGUGCACUCAAGCCAGAGCUAAGGAGCUCAUAGAACCAUUACUGUACUGUAGAUACACCAAACAGCUCUAAUAAACUUGAAGUUAUUAUGGGAAAACAAGGAAAGCAGAAGAGGGAAGAAAAGAUGUCAGAAAAGAUUAAAUAUGAAUUUGAAGUAAUAUGCUUACGGGAAUAAGAACCUAAUUCUGUUGAACAGAACAAAUAACUCAACCAAAGCCAACAACCUAGUGUCACCAUGAGUUAAUCAUCGGUUGCUUUCAAUUUCUCCCACACAUUGCCAAUAGUUUGACAUCUACUCUCAUUCCAGAGAAAGUCAGUGAUUUUGCAACUUACAUAAAACCGACUAUCAGCAUUGUCAAUUACAUAUGGGUUUUUCCCCUAGUCUUCAGAGACACCUGUGUUUUCACAGUAAGGAAUCUGCUAUCAACAACAUGCUUGCCCGAUGUCUAUUUAUCUGUCUGUCAGUUUGACAGAGUCUUUGGGAAAUCCUCACUUGUCAGAACUAUUUCUCUCAUGUUUCACUGAGUUUUUAAUGAGAAGCACCAGGCAAAAUCCACAAGCAACGUGAGAGCAGAAGGGGGGGGACAGGUGGAUAGCUGGGAGCUUCGGUAUAACUGAACACCAUGUGGUAUACAUCUCUUUUGAUUACUGCCACAUCCAAUCACACUAAUCAAACACGCAUCAAAGAGCAGAAGUUAUAGACCGAUGACUGAAUGACACAAUGUAAAGACUGGUGCAGUGUGAAAUCUGCCAACACUAUCAUUGGUGGUUUCAAAACAAUGCACAGUGUCCACCCACUCUGCCAAGACGCACUUUGGUGAUGAAAUUUCACUUCCUUAUGUUAUCAAAUACAUUUUACCAAGACAAAUAUGAUUAUUCAUGUCUGAAUCAUUGUGGGGUCUUUCUCUAACAUAUUAGUAUUAUAUCCAAAAAGUUGGAUUUCGUAAUCUAAUACAUACGAUAAUAAGCACCAAGAUCUGUUGACAUCGUGGUACAGGUUUCUCAUAACUUCUAAAGAUGUUACAUUUUGAGGUCAUCGUCUUCCAAGUAGUUAACAGGUCGCAAAAAGCAAAUGAGAAUGAAUUAAAUGUAAAAGACUGAUAAUAAAAAGCUUGGAAUGCUCAGCGUUCAUUUUAUAGAGAUUCAAUCAUUUCUUACAAACAAGCAUAAAAGAACAGGAAUUUCCAAUUCAUAUGAAAAGUGUGUACUAAAAUAUGAAAAUACGUCAUGUCUCAAAAUCGAUAUCCAUCUUAGCUCUAUAUUGUUUUAUGUCCUGCGGAUUGGAGAAGAAAGAUGACCAGUUCAACAGGGAAGUGAGCCUGUCAGGUAGCCAAUAGCCUUAAAUCUGCCACAGAAUCCAGCCUAGCUGACACAAUGCAAUUUUCCACUUUUUUUUACCACUUUUUUCCCCCUCCGGCCUCCAUUGAUUUAGUCACCCGAAUUCUGACCAUCCCACAAGGGUAAAGACUCCAAUAACUCGAACGGGUUAUGAUAGACACGAGGUUUGGACCAUUGGAAUACUUAGAGGAUUAUCUACAGAAUUAACAUACUAUUUAAAAAACACUGCUCGAAAGAUACAUUUUUGAUUGGAACUUGUGUGAAUUCUGAUUUUUUUCCAGUGCCUGAAUAUCACGACUCAGGAUAAGGCCCAUAUGCAGACAGUUCGAAGCACAGUUAUUUAUUGACAAAUCAGGGGACAGACAAAAGACAGGUCAAGAGCAGGCAGGAGGUCAGUAAUCCAGGGCAGAGUCAGUAAGGUACAGAACGGCAGGCAGGCUCGGGGUUAGGGCAGGCAGAGGUCAGUAAUCCAGGGCAGAGUCAGUAAGGUACAGAACGGCAGGCAGAGGUCAGUAAUCCAGGGCAGAGUCAGUAAGGUACAGAACGGCAGGCAGGUUCGGGGUUAGGGCAGGCAGAGGUCAGUAAUCCAGGGCAGAGUCAGUAAGGUACAGAACGGCAGGCAGAGGUCAGUAAUCCAGGGCAGAGUCAGUAAGGUAAAGAACGGCAGGCAGGCUCGGGGUUAGGGCAGGCAGAGGUCAGUAAUCCAGGGCAGAGUCAGUAAGGUACAGAACGGCAGGCAGAGGUCAGUAAUCCAGGGCAGAGUCAGUAAGGUAAAGAACGGCAGGCAGGCUCGGGGUUAGGGCAGGCAGAGGUCAGUAAUCCAGGGCAGAGUCAGUAAGGUACAGAACGGCAGAAAAAAACCCGACGGUAAGCUUGACGAGACAAGACGAACUGGCAACAGACAAGCAGAAAACACAGGUAUGAAUGCACAGGGGAUAAUGGGGAAAAUGGGCGACACCUGGAGGGGGUGGAGACAAGCACAAGCCAAGUGAAACAGAUCAGGGUGUGACACUAAGGCUAUGCAGCAGUUUGAUAAUGUAGAAUGUGUUUUUUAAAUUUAUUUUACUCUUAAGAUCAAGCCCACAUAGAUCCAUAACCAGGUGUGGUGUUUAGUGGUGUUUCGGGAAGGUGGGAGCUAGAUACAGUAUAUCCAACAUGCUUUUUUGUGACUAUGAACAUUAAGGUGUAAUUGAGCUUUGCAAUGUAACUCGACCCCUUUAAAGAAAAAUACGCAAAUGCUGAGAACUAAAGCUAAACCAGUCAAAAUCCCUCAACUGUAGUUACAUCAUAUGCCUUAUCACACAUGCAGUAGUUACAACAUCUGCCUUAUCCCACAUGCCUUCUCUUGUCCUACAUUCUUGUCCUACAUAUAAUCAAUCUUCCCUUGAAACGAUCUAAGUCAUAAAAUAUGAGUGUUUGCUGAUUGACUCUCCGAUACACAUUUCAAACAUAUUUGUGCAUCUGCAUUCGCCUGCAUUCACUACCAACACAUUCCUCGAGCCUGCUCAGGUCUGAGGGUGUCAGAACAGAUACAGAGAAACAGCUAUUUUUUCACCUGCAGCACAGAACAACAUCUCCACGGAGGCCAGCAGCAGCAGAUAUGUCAUAGCGAGAGAGACAGAGCAGUUGAGAAGGUGAAUGACUGCAGGCGGUCCUCAGAGGGAGAGGUGGAGGGUGGAGCCCCAUGGGUUGGAACAACCCCAUGGAGAGUAGACAUAUCAGCACUAUUGAGUUGUUACACAACAUCUACUGUAGGUCAUGAAUGCACUACCUCUGGUAUUUUAACAUGAACUGGAAAGUUUAGAGGCUCGGUAUGAGGUUGAUAUGAGGUGAAUUUGGUGCAACACAAAAGCAAGAACUUUACAAUUUAGUCAUUUAGCAGAAACUCUUAUCCAGAGUGACUUACAGGAGCAAUUAGUCUUAAGUUCCUUGCUCAAGGGCACAUCGAGAGAGCCUUGUUGGCUCGGGGAUUCAAACCAGUAACCUUUCAAUUAAUGGCCCAAUACUCUAACCACUACCUUCCCCCCCAAUCAAUCCAAUCAGUACUUGGACUGGUAACU
Molecule: long non-coding RNA, 4628 nt
Organism: Oncorhynchus tshawytscha (Chinook salmon)
Lineage: Eukaryota; Metazoa; Chordata; Actinopteri; Salmoniformes; Salmonidae
Source: Ensembl